ACGCUGGCGGCACGCCUAACACAUGCAAGUCGAACGAAGUAGCAAUACUUAGUGGCAGACGGGUGAGUAACAUGUAGGUAUCUGCCCUUUGGCCUGGAAUAACACGAGGAAACUUGUGCUAAUACCGGAUAAGUCUUUACGGAGAAAGCUUUAUGCACCAUUGGAUGAGCCUGCACUUGAUUAGUUUGUUGGUGGGGUAAUGGCCUACCAAGACUGUGAUCAAUAGCUGAUUUGAGAGGAUGAUCAGCCACAUUGGGACUGAGACACGGCCCAAACUCCUACGGGAGGCAGCAGUGGGGAAUCUUGCACAAUGGAGGAAACUCUGAUGCAGCGAUGCCGCGUGAGUGAAGAAGGCCUUUGGGUUGUAAAGCUCUUUCGUCGGGGAAGAAAAUGACUGUACCCGAAUAAGAAGGUCCGGCUAACUUCGUGCCAGCAGCCGCGGUAAUACGAAGGGACCUAGCGUAGUUCGGAAUUACUGGGCUUAAAGAGUUCGUAGGUGGUUGAAAAAGUUAGUGGUGAAAUCCCAGAGCUUAACUCUGGAACUGCCAUUAAAACUUUUCAGCUAGAGUAUGAUAGAGGAAAGCAGAAUUUCUAGUGUAGAGGUGAAAUUCGUAGAUAUUAGAAAGAAUACCAAUUGCGAAGGCAGCUUUCUGGAUCAUUACUGACACUGAGGAACGAAAGCAUGGGUAGCGAAGAGGAUUAGAUACCCUCGUAGUCCAUGCCGUAAACGAUGUGUGUUAGACGUUGGAAAUUUAUUUUCAGUGUCGCAGGGAAACCGAUAAACACACCGCCUGGGGAGUACGACCGCAAGGUUAAAACUCAAAUGAAUUGACGGGGACCCGCACAAGUAGUGGAGCAUGUGGUUUAAUUCGAAGAUACGCGCAGAACCUUCCCAACACUUGACAUGUUCGUCGCGACUCUAAGAGAUUAGAGUUUUCGGUUCGGCCGGACGAAACACAGGUGCUGCAUGGCUGUCGUCAGCUCGUGUCGUGAGAUGUUGGGUUAAGUCCCGCAACGAGCGCAACCCUCACUUUUAGUUGCCAUCAUUAAGUUGGGCACUCUGAAAGAACUGCCAGUGAUAAGCUGGAGGAAGGUGGGGAUGACGUCAAGUCCUCAUGGCCCUUACGUGUUGGGCUACACACGUGCUACAAUGGUAUCUACAACAGGAAGCAAGACUGCGAAGUUAAGCAAAUCCCUAAAAGAUACCUCAGUUCGGAUUGCACUCUGCAACUCGAGUGCAUGAAGCUGGAAUUACUAGUAAUCGUGGAUCAGCGUGCCACGGUGAAUGCGUUCCCGGGUCUUGUACACACC
This 1311-nucleotide ribosomal RNA is filed under the name uncultured Alphaproteobacteria bacterium. RNAcentral describes it as "uncultured alpha proteobacterium 16S ribosomal RNA". It matches the Rfam family "Bacterial small subunit ribosomal RNA", at positions 33 to 1391 of the family's 1533-position model. Lineage: Bacteria; Pseudomonadati; Pseudomonadota; Alphaproteobacteria. The record is from RNAcentral.